GACGAUACUGCAGUGCGAUGAACUAGAGAGUAUUCCAAGUUCAGACAGGUUCACAUCGCUCCGCAGCUUGGAGAUUUCUUAUUGUGGUAAACUAACAUGUCUACCGGAUGGGUUAGCAGCAUCGUCGCAGCCCUGCAGACUCACCCGUUUGAAGGAAUUGACACUUGGUCCUUUAGGCUAUGAGCUCGAUGCAUUUCCAGCUUUUCAGGCUAUACCACAACUUGAAUCAUUAACCAUCAAAGGGUGGGGCAAGCUCAAGUCUCUCCCUGAACAAAUUCAACACUUGUCUUCUUUAAGACAUUUGACAAUAGAGCACUUUGAUGGAGUGGAGGCUAUUCCAGACUGGUUGGGAAACCUUGCAUUUCUCGAAGACCUGACUAUCGAGUUUAGCAACGGUAUAAAGUAUCUACCUUCUGUGGAAGCCAUGCAACGCCUCACCAAUUUGAAGGAGAUAAGCAUAAUUUACUGUCGUCUUCUAGAAGAAAGAUGCAGGGAGGAGAGUGGCCCAGAGUGGCCUAAGAUUUGUCAUCUUCCAUUCAUCACUUUUCACGGAGAUCGAGGUAUACUACAUAUCGAGAAUUGACAAAGGCAGCGAACAAUAAGUUCGUAAUUGCUUCAAGGGCUGACAUCGAUGCCAAUAUAUAAUAAGGUUCCUAUCUUUGAAUGCUCUCUAUCGGAAAUUGCUUCAGUUGCUCGCGGUGUUUCAUUAACAUCAUGGAGUUUUGCACCAAGGCAAGAUAUAUCUGUAUAUACCUCCCUCGAUAUGUCUUCUCCACCGAAAAUAUGAAGACACUAUAUAUGUAAGGCAGAGUCUAAGGUUUUUUAU
This is an RNA transcript of Fragaria vesca subsp. vesca, 826 nucleotides long. RefSeq lists it as uncharacterized. The transcript is spliced from 4 exons. NCBI's taxonomy places the organism in Eukaryota, Viridiplantae, Streptophyta, Magnoliopsida, Rosales, Rosaceae. The record is from RefSeq and is a predicted model, not a curated record.